GUUCUUGUAGUUAAAUUUUUAUAACGGUGGUUUUUCAGGCCGCGGAUCUCGGAGAAAGGCCGAGCAAGAAUU
Molecule: transfer RNA, 72 nt
Filed under: Pachycephala pectoralis (golden whistler)
Lineage: Eukaryota; Metazoa; Chordata; Aves; Passeriformes
Description: tRNA-Glu
Source: RNAcentral